This is a non-coding RNA of Cinara cedri, 1460 nucleotides long. The record is from the annotation of a GenBank genome assembly. Lineage: Eukaryota; Metazoa; Arthropoda; Insecta; Hemiptera; Aphididae.
UUUACAUUAUUUUUUGUCGCCCUAAUUUUUGGAGAGUAAAACGACUACCUACUUUUGAUUUUCAAAUGGCAUUUUAAAUUAAAAAUUCCAUAAAUAGAUGGAAUGGUAGUUAAAAUAAAUAUUAAUGUUUAAAUUUGUGAUUUCCGUAAAUCCGUUAACGAGAUAUUCUUCUUUUAAUUUUGAGUCGGGAAAGAGUAGUGGAGCAUUAUUUAUGUGGCGGCACAGCGAGCGGCGUUUUAAGGUUGUACCACUACUCUCGCCAAACCGAAACUUACAAGUGGAAUAUUUCGAUUGACGGAAAUUAAAAAUUUAAACACCAACAUUUAUUUUCACAUUUAAGGAAAUUAAAAGUUAUAUAUAGAAAUUUAAAUUUAGGUUGCCAUUUGAAUAUCAAAAGUAGGUAGUCGUUUCACCCUCAAAAAUUAGGGAGACAAAUAUAAUGUGAAUGUUAAUUUUAGAACAGCUUGUUGUUUCUUAAAUAUUCUUUAAAACAAAUUUUUCAAAAAAGUUAAUGCUUUCCAAGAUAAUGAGUAUCUUACGAUAGAUUGACCCUGUAUAAUAUUUAAAUAUUUUUUCCAUGUACAAAAUAACCCGGAACCUAAUUAAAAAGUAAAAAUAAACUUUGAAGGACUACAUCCUCGUUUCCUCCCUUUUAUAAGCAUUAAUGUAAAUUAAAAGUAUAGAUAUGACUUAAAAAAUAUAAAUCUGGGUGUUUUGAUACUAAUUUCGAGUCGUUCGGAGAAAACAACAGUGCUGGGUCAUUUUGGAUUUUUGUGGGUUCCGGAAAAACGAAGAAGUAACAAAAUCUGAAAAUGGCGUAUUAAAAUUUAGCAAAAUCGUACCUACGAGUAUUUUGAUACUAAUUUGAAGUCAAUCGGAGAAAGUGCCGGUGUUGGGUCAUUUUGGAUUUCUGUGGAUUCUGGAAAAACGAAGAAGUUACAAAAUUUAUCAAAAUCGGUACGAGUGUUUUGAUACUAAUUUCGAGUCAUUCGGAGAAAAUGUCAGUGCUGGACCAUAUCUGAUGAUCACGUGGUCGAUAUCAAUCUGGCCUAUUUGUUUCCCGUUUUGUAGUAGAAACAACUUAAUUGCAUAAAUUAAAAAUGCAUUAGCAAAAUGUAGCAAAAUCGUACUAGUGUUUUGAUACUAAUUUUAAGUCAAUCGGAGAAAGUGCUGGGGUGCUUGGUCAUUUUGGAUUUUGGUGGAUUUUGGAAAAACGAAGAAGUAACAAAAUUAAAAAAUGCCGUAGCAAAAUCAUGACCUCAUUUUUGAAGUUGUAGUAAAAUGUAGUAAAACCUACAUAUUUUUAGCACUAAAAUAUUAGAUUACAAUCAUAAUAGAAAGUAAUGAACUAUAAAAUAUAAUCAUAAAUUAAAUUAUAAACUAGUUUAAUUAUAAUGGAUUUUUCUUCGACAAUAUUCAUCGUUUAAUUUUAAAAUGAUGAAUAUUGUUAACUGAACAUG